Molecule: ribosomal RNA, 484 nt
Filed under: uncultured bacterium
Lineage: Bacteria
Description: partial 16S ribosomal RNA
Rfam family: Bacterial small subunit ribosomal RNA
Source: RNAcentral
AUUGAACGCUGGCGGCAGGCCUAACACAUGCAAGUCGAGCGGAUGAAGGGUGCUUGCUCCUGGAUUCAGCGGCGGACGGGUGAGUAAUGCCUAUGAAUCUGCCUGGUAGUGGGUGAUAACGUCCGGAAACGGGCGCUAAUACCGCAUACUUCCUGAUGGAGAAAGUGGGGGAUCUUCGGACCUCACGCUAUCAUAUGAGCCUAGGUCGGAUUAGCUAGUUGGUGGGGUAAAGGCCUACCAAGGCGACGAUCCGUAACUGGUCUGAGAGGAUGAUCAGUCACACGGGAACUGAGACACGGUCCAGACGACUACGGGAGGCAGCAGUGGGGAAUAUUGGACAAUGGGCGAAAGCCUGAUCCAGCCAUGCCGCGUGUGUGAAGAAGGUCUUCGGAUUGUAAAGCACUUUAAGGUGGGAGGAAGGGCAGUAAGUUAAUACCUUGCUGUUUUGACGUUACCAACAGAAUAAGCACCGGCUAACUUCGUG